CCUACGGGCGGCAGCAGUGAGGAAUAUUGGUCAAUGGACGAGAGUCUGAACCAGCCAAGUAGCGUGAAGGAUGACUGCUCUAUGGGUUGUAAACUUCUUUUAUAAAGGAAUAAAACGAGGCACGUGUGCAAUAUUGCAUGUCCUUUAUGAAUAAGGAUCGGCUAACUCCGUGCCAGCAGCCGCGGUAAUACGGAGGAUCUGAGCGUUAUCCGGAAUUAUUGGGUUUAACGGGAGCGUAGAUGGGUUGUUAAGUCAGUUGUGAAAGUUUGCGGCUUAACCGUAAAAUUGCAAUUGAUACUGGCAGUCUUGAGUACAGUUGAGGUAGGCGGAAUUCGUGGUGUAGCGGUGAAAUGCUUAGAUAUCACGAAGAACCCCGAUUGCGAAGGCAGCUUACUAAACUGUGACUGACAUUGAUGCUCGAAAGUGUGGGUAUCAAACAGGAUUAGAUACCCUGGUAGUC
RNAcentral lists this ribosomal RNA (460 nucleotides) under uncultured bacterium. RNAcentral describes it as "partial 16S ribosomal RNA". It matches the Rfam family "Bacterial small subunit ribosomal RNA", at positions 338 to 795 of the family's 1533-position model. The record is from RNAcentral.